CGUUCAGUGGGCUGCGCGGCCGUUGCGACGAGCUGCAUUGCUGAUUCUUCGCUUGAGACUGGCAAUUGUCGAGCGGGUUGCAUCCGUUGUUACGUUGCCCGAAGACAGUAGUAAAUGUGAUUUGCAGGGUGCAAGCAACGUGUCAUUGUGGUUAGAAAAAAAUGAAUCAGUAUACAUGUGAUUUAACUGUCAAAGCCGGAAUGUUUAAAGCAUACAUCCCGCCCAAGGCAUGCUGGGAUGAUCUCCUAUCAGGCAGCUUGGAAAUUUCCAGACGCCGAUAUGCCUUACGUUCGGUGCAGCCGAGGCAAUGAACUGUCAAGUGGAAUAUGCCCCUUGAGGAAAACAAUUAGGAUCGACUGUCCAGCGAGGAGACUGCGGAAUCAGCAACUGACAUAUUGACUGAUGAAACAUGAUGGUGCGUGCAGCAAGAGAGGGUUUGACUGCAGAUCCUG
This is a long non-coding RNA of Rhipicephalus sanguineus (brown dog tick), 452 nucleotides long. RefSeq lists it as uncharacterized. The record is from RefSeq and is a predicted model, not a curated record. The transcript has 4 exons. NCBI's taxonomy places the organism in Eukaryota, Metazoa, Arthropoda, Arachnida, Ixodida, Ixodidae.